GGUCCAAACCCAAAUAUCUCUUCUACCUUACACUUCUACUAAAAUCAACAUCACAUCCCUUCUUGUUCUUCUUCUUCACUUCAUUUCUCUCAUAAACCAAAAUCAAUCAAAAAAAUCCCAAUUUUCUUCAAAACCCUAACCCUAAUGGAACUCUCUCAUCUCUCCCUCUCCGAAAAUCACUUCUUCUUUUCUACUCCCACCUCCCCUUCUUCCUUAUCACACCGUCUUCCCUCAUUUCUCUCACUCUCCACCAAUCACCGUCGCCGGCGAAGAAGUUUCUGUUCCGCCUCGAAUUCCGAUACGUUAGUCGCCGCUACAGGUAAGAAGAAGCGUGAUGAGGAUGAUGGUGAUUUGAAGACGUGGAUGCAUAAGAAUGGACUUCCUCCAUGUAAAGUUGUUUUGAAGGAUAAACCUUCGCUUGAUGACAGUGUUAAACCUAUUCAUUAUGUUGCUGCUAGUGAAGAUCUUCAGAAAGGGGAUAUUGCUUUCUCAGUUCCAAAUUCAUUGGUUGUCACUCUAGAGCGUGUCUUGGGAAACGAGACUAUUGCCGAGCUAUUGACCACAAACAAGUUUUCCGAAUUGGCGUGCUUGGCCUUGUAUCUGAUGUAUGAGAAAAAACAGGGAAAGAAAUCUUUCUGGUAUCCAUACAUUAGGGAACUUGAUCGGCAACGAGGCAGGGGUCAACUGGCAGUGGAAUCACCUCUUCUAUGGUCAGAGUCUGAGCUGGCAUACCUUGAAGGAAGUCCGUUAAAGGAUGAAAUUGUUAAAAGGAUUGAAGGAAUAAGAAAAGAGUAUAAUGAACUAGACACGGUCUGGUUUAUGUCUGGUUCUCUCUUUCAGCAAUACCCAUAUGACCUUCCUACCGAGGCUUUUCCAUUUGAGAUUUUCAAACAAGCUUUUGCAGCAGUUCAGUCAUGUGUUGUGCAUUUACAGAAUGUUAGCUUAGCUCGGAGAUUUGCGCUGGUUCCACUGGGACCUCCUUUGUUGGCCUACUGUAGCAACUGCAAGGCAAUGUUAACUGCUGUUGAUGGUGCUGUUCAGCUUGUGGUCGAUCGCCCCUAUAAAGCUGGGGACCCGAUUGUUGUCUGGUGUGGCCCACAGCCUAACACAAAGUUACUUACAAACUAUGGCUUUGUUGAUGAAGAUAAUUCCAAUGACCGACUCAUAGUUGAGGUGGCUUUGAGUACUGAAGAUCCACAAUAUCAAGAUAAAAGAAUAGUUGCUCAAAGAAAUGGAAAGCUAUCAAUUCAAACGUUUUAUGUAUAUACUGGGAAGGAAAGAGAAGCUGUCUCAGAUAUGAUUCCAUAUAUGCGUUUAGGCUAUGUUUCAGAUCCUUCUGAGAUGCAAUCUGUCAUCUCCUCUCAAGGUCCAGUUUGUCCAGUGAGCCCUUGUAUGGAGCGGGCCGUGCUGGACCAGCUUGCUGAUUAUUUCAAUACUCGGCUGGCUGCCUACCCUACUACCUUGGCUGAAGAUGAAUCUAUGUUGACAGAUGGCAGUUUGAAUCCAAAGAGGCGUGUUGCUACUCAACUUGUUAGGCUAGAAAAGAAAAUGCUUCAUGCAUGCUUGCAGGCAAUCAUGGAUCUCAUAAGCCAGCUACCAGACCACAGUGUAUCGCCAUGCCCUGCUCCCUAUGCACCAUCGUUAAAAUGAAAGGAACUGGAUAAUUUGUGCAGUACAAUAUGGGUUUAAUGAUCCAAGUUUGAAUAAUCAUGAUUGAUUGCUGUACCUAGAACAAUGCUGCUCGGAGUUUCAAAUCCAUAUAAAAAGGGGUUGGUUCAAGUAUUUUCUGUGCACCCCGUCAAGUAUAGGAGCAUCAGUGAAGCAUUUAUUUUCCCAAAACAUGUCGUUGGUCGCGCAGAUGAUUCUAAGUUUGAGUGUUGGAAUGAUAGUAAUCUUUUGUAAAUGGAAAUCUGUAUCACAAAUUGUAAUUCAUUUGUGUAUAUAUUUGUAUGCAGUUCUCAGGAAUAUAUUUGAUCCGAUCCCCUUCUCUAGUUUACUUUAAAAUUGUUAGAAAGAUCUCAAAUGUCACAAAAGGUUUUGUUUGCUGAAUGUGGUAUGACAUAGAGCAGCUAAAUAAUGACAGACAUGAAUUCUUGUUAA
Molecule: RNA transcript, 2100 nt
Organism: Medicago truncatula (barrel medic)
Lineage: Eukaryota; Viridiplantae; Streptophyta; Magnoliopsida; Fabales; Fabaceae
Gene name: fructose-bisphosphate aldolase-lysine N-methyltransferase, chloroplastic
Exons: 13
Source: RefSeq, a predicted model, not a curated record